GAUGAACGCUGGCGGCGUGCCUAAUACAUGCAAGUCGAGCGAACAGACGAGGAGCUUGCUCCUCUGACGUUAGCGGCGGACGGGUGAGUAACACGUGGAUAACCUACCUAUAAGACUGGGAUAACUUCGGGAAACCGGAGCUAAUACCGGAUAAUAUAUUGAACCGCAUGGUUCAAUAGUGAAAGACGGUUUUGCUGUCACUUAUAGAUGGAUCCGCGCCGCAUUAGCUAGUUGGUAAGGUAACGGCUUACCAAGGCAACGAUGCGUAGCCGACCUGAGGGGGUGAUCGGCCACACUGGAACUGAGACACGGUCCAGACUCCUACGGGAGGCAGCAGUAGGGAAUCUUCCGCAAUGGGCGAAAGCUUGACGGAGCAACGCCGCGUGAGUGAUGAAGGUCUUCGGAUCGUAAAACUCCGUUAUUAGGGAAGAACAAAUGUGUAAGUAACUAUGCACGUCUUGACGGUACCUAAUCAGAAAGCCACGGCUAACUACGUG
RNAcentral lists this ribosomal RNA (497 nucleotides) under uncultured bacterium. RNAcentral describes it as "partial 16S ribosomal RNA". It matches the Rfam family "Bacterial small subunit ribosomal RNA", at positions 28 to 507 of the family's 1533-position model. The record is from RNAcentral.